UAUGGAAAGUAUAUCUGGACUUACAUGAAGCAAAAGAGAAGAAAAGACAAGACAGGUAUUAUAAUGGCUACAGAGAUUAGUUCAUUGGUAUGCUAAGAAGUACAAAAAGACAACUACCUGCAUUCCACAUUCUAUAGAAAUGGUUCUGGAUGUUGAUUCACCAAACGAAAAUUUUGAAACCUGGUAGCCCAGAAAAAAUGCUGCUGCAUGCAGGGCCGCCACUGGGAGAAUUAACUGUGCUCCCUGACUUUUCAGCACAUCUGCAACUUGCCCGAUCUUCAGAUAAAAAGAUAUGAACUGACUUACCAUAGUAUUUGUGAGAGAAAGAGAGAAAUCAUUAAUAUGCCUUCAACUAAAAAUAGACAGUAAAUUUUUCAAGCUUACCGGACUUGCACAAAGAAGGGUGGUCAAAAUAACUCCAAUCAAAGGUGUAAUGGUGAUGAUUUUUGAGGUAAACUUAGGAAAGAACUCAUUUGAUAGAACUGCAAAACAAAAUGAACUUGAAUUAAUAUAGCACAUCUUAUUUGAAGCUAUAUGAAAGCAAGAUUGGCAUAAAUACAGAUUGUCUGUCGUAUUUCUCUAUUGAAGAAAAUGUACCUCCAAUAAUUGUUGGCACUAACACAACCUGAAAGGUGCUGAUAGCAAGACCCUGGAACGAAAACAAAGAUGAUUGACUAGAAGAAAGACUCCAUCAGCAAACGACAAAACUUAGAAUGUUAUUCACCGAAGUUAGAGGGCUAUCAGCUUCCUUGGGAAGAAUCCAACUUUUAAACAGCCAUACUUUAAUGCUGUUAAGAGUUACACUCCAAAUAAGUUUGGUGGAGUCUCUAUGAUUUUUUUGGUGCUUGUGCAAGGCAUAGUUUAGAAUUUUUCAAGUGUACGACAUACAUUUAUAGAAUGAAUUUUGAUAUGUGACUGAUAUUGCAAACAUCAAGCACUUUACAUGAGAAGAUUUUGAUAAAUGAAACAAAUUCCGAACACAUCAGCACAGGUCAACUUACGGCAGCAUCAACUGGGACAAGCUGACCAGCUAGAAGCUUAGUUAGCAAGGGUGUCAUUACAAUAGCUCCAACAGUUGAACACCUGCAAUGAUACCAUAAAAACUCUUAUUCCCCAAAUUCUUUAAGAAAAGAUUCUUGUCAUCAGCUUAUUAGUUGUCCACAGUUUUCUGCAAGUGCAUAUUUCUUGUAAAGGUGAACUUAAUUUUGCAUCGAGCUAUAGCAUAGGUUUGGUUUCUCCUUAACAGCCAUCAAGCUUAAAAAUUAUCCCAUCAUUACACAGGAAGCUACAGUAGAGGGGUUGAAAGUUCACAGCGGUCAUUCAUUUUCGCGUAAUGAAUUUUCUUCUACCAGAAGGCACCUUGGAGUAAUUGGUAAAGUUCCUGCCAUAUGACCAGAAGGUCACAGGUUCAAACCUUGGAAACAGCCUCUAGCAGAAAUGCAAGGUAAGGCUGCGUACAACACACCAUUGUGGUGGGGCCCUUCCCCAGAUCCUGCACAUAGCGGGAGCUUUAGUGCACCGAGCUACCCUUUUGUUUUUUAAUUUUCUUCUACCACAUUGCAACAGUCAGGUGAUGCAAUCUCUAUCCUUAAAAGUAAACAAGCUCCUUGAAAGUAAGGAAAAUGACUUCCUUAUGGAAAGUAGGGAAAACAAGUGGCACCGUCUCCUCCCCCCACUCAUCCUCAUAAUUUUGUGUUAGAUAUAUACAAAUACUUUUAGGAUAAUAUUUUAUACUUGCCUACCGAAAACGAGAAAAUAAGUAAGAAACCACUUAUUUUCCAAGAAAAUGUUUUAUUGGAAAAUAUUUUCCAUGAAAACAUUUUUCUCCAUAUCGAACAAACCCUUGGACAUAUUGCAGAUUGCAUAUUAUAGGACAAGUCCACAUCAAAUCCAACAAAACACUGGGACAAAUUUUCUGCAAUGCAGGGUCUAAUUUCUAAUUUUUUAAGAAUCUAAAAUCUGUUUUAAUAAUGGGUAACCAUGACUUUUACUAAGCACAAAAAAUUGCACUCUUGAACUUUUCUGGAUUAUAAACUAGUCAUACUUUUUUUGAAUCUGAUAAACUAGUCAUACUUAUCUUAGCAAUGAGUGUCAUUACAUCAACAACACAGCAUGGGUUGCACGACCAUAGCAAAUCUUAUUGACAUUAACAACUUCCCCUAAUGUUGACUGAAUCUACAUGUAUAAUCUCCACUUACGUAGUCAUAAGAACAGAGAGGGCUACAUUCCCCUUUGAAAUAUAUGUUGCCACAUUAGAAGCUUGGCCUCCAGGACAGCAUGAUACCAAGAUAAGACCAGUAGCAAGUGGGGCGGACAACUUUAGAACCUACAAAUCAUACCAAUUGGACGAAGAGAACAAUUAUUAUUAGGUAACAAAAGUAAUAUCGAUAAACAGAAUCAAGAAUAUAGAGCAUGACUUGCAAAGGAACAACAGAAACCACCAGAAGAAGAAUAGCAUCAACAUGCUCCAAUAGUUAGGUCAAACUUGCAUACAACAGCAACAACUACUAUACCUCAGUCACAAAUAAGUUGGCGUAGUGGUAUGAGUCCUCACGUCUACAAUUAAGCUCAACUCAUGGGUCAAACUUGAAUACUGAAUCAAAAUAUAUUUCUAGCAGAUAAAUAAGUUCUCUUCGGCAACAGAAGUGGGAGAAGAAAUCAUAAAUAGUAGAACCUAAGUAAGAUGUUAAUAGAACCAACUUCAGCAGAAAUUUAACAAAAAAAAUAAAGCAAAACAAUGAUAGCAAAAAUAAGAGAUGACUAAUAUACUUUAGACGCAUCAAUCAAAGAAAGAAGUAGUAGGUAUGGUCAUUCUUCAAAGGACAAAAAGAUACAUUUCAUAUGAGUAACUUAUCAUCAAAUUUUCGGGUGCUUCUCUGUUGAGUCUUUGAGGUACAUAUACUAUUGAUAAAGUUUCUCCUUUUAUAUUUGUUAUGCUUACAUGUCAGUAUCGAGGCCAUGAAGGAUGAAAAGGGUAGAAAAAUAUUUCUCAUAGACCACUCUACCUUUCUAAUGCCAUCUCUGGCUAACAUAAGAUAAAUGUGGUGUAAUCCAGCUGAUCUUCACUCACUACCCUCAAAUGGUUUCAUUUGAGUAGAAGAUCUCCUAGGAGUCCAACUAAGUUAGAAUGCAAGUACACAACAUUUUGGAAACAACAUUCAACAGAAACUUUCUAUAUGAAAUUGCUUACGACUUCAACUUGAUUUAAGCCAUCCACAGACAAAAUGAAUAGCCCAAUUACGUAAGAGAAGAAAUACCAUAGCUAUGGUGAAGCCUAAAAGUGGUUUGAUGAAGUACUGAGCCGCAAAUCCCACACCAACCUGCAAACGGAGCAACCAUUGGUGUCUGUUGGUGUUUAAAACAAUAGUAGGAGAAUGAAGAAUUUGCUACUUACAGUCCAUGGAUUCCUUAAACAUCGUCGAAAGUCCUCAAAUGUUAGUGUCAAACCCAUUGAAAGCAUUAGAAAUCCCAAACCAAGAGUGAACAGGUCUGUUUCCAACCAAGUGACCUGUAAGAUUCUCAUGUCUAUCAGUUAAGUCAUUCAUUUAUCAUAAAUGGAAUUGCAAAGAGCGAGUACUGUAUUUACCGCAGAAGGUUUAUAGAUGCCAAUGAUUGUACCCAAUAUAACCUGCAAAAGUUAAGUAGCUGUAAACUUCUAGUCUUUCAAAAAAUUUAAUCUUUCAAUGAGGAAUAAAACAACAAGAUAGCUGGUGUAAUCCCACAAAGUGGAUCUGGAAAGAAUAGUGUACGCAGACCUUACCUCUACCUUGGAUGUGAAACACUGUUCCCAGUAGAUCCUCGGCUCAAGGAAAAACAGUUCAAAGCAAUUUGGAAAAAAGAAAUAACGGCAGUGAAGAAUUUCAUGGAAAAAUACUAUUGAAAGGAUGACAGGGUAUUCUGUACAGUAACGACAGCAAAAAGAUACGAUUAUCUAAGUACAAGAAACAGUAAAUAGUAACAUAAAUCAAAGGGCAAGAAACUAUAGAAAUAAUACUACGACUACUAGCAUGGAAGGAGAAGCAAUACAACACUCUACUACCUACUAAAAUGAAAUAUAGAAAAUCAAAUAUUUAUUAUAAAAUGGAGAAAAGAGGGAAAUCGGAUAUACCCAGAGAGGAAAAAGAGUGGUCAAAGUCUCAAUUAUUUUCUCGUAUUGGCUCAUUCCACUGGAAGAGCUGCUUGGUAAGUCUCCAGACACAUUCGUCGCUGCCACGCAAGAUAUUUCGGUAUUGCUAAAGAUAGUGGCAGUCCCCCCCCCCCCCCCCCAAAAAAAAAAGAAAAAUAAAAGAUUUUUCCAAAUCAAAUAUAACAUUAGAAUAAAAAAGGAGACAAAAAAAUAAUUCCAUCUCUUAUUACACUCGAACUGAGAAUGCAAACGGAACUUUGAUUCAAACACUUACCGCUGUGGUGAACUGAUUCCAAUAAAUGAGGAUUGAACUAGGAAAGCAACAUCCGAAACUUGAUGCCUAUUUUGAAUGAACAAAUUAUAUCUUCCAGUCUCAUGUCCGCCCAAUCCACUUCUCAUACCUUAUAAUCAAUGCAGCUAAUUGAUAAAUAAAUAUUCAAUUUUAAGUUAAAUAAUUACAAAUUCUGAUGCUGUAAAAUAAUUUCUAGCAUUCCUUCAAAUUAAACAAUAUGGACAUUUAAUAUAACUAUCCUAUGAUUGAAAAAAAAGAAGUAAUAGAGCAUGUACCACAUGUAACAAAGCAUGUACCACACACAGCUGUAAAAUAGGAUGAGUCCAGUAAAUUUAGGCUUUAAGGUUGUAGAGUUUAUUCUCAUGUUUAUCUGCUCCUAAUUAUUAGGAGUCAAGCUAGCACAAUCUGUUCACGUUGUAUUUAAACUCCAUUGCAGACAUACUAAUAAAUACAAUUUCAUCCUACUUUCUCUACAAUUAUAGACUAAUCAAGUGACCCCUGGAUUCUUGAUUCAGGUGCGUCUCACCACAUCACCUCCGAUACUAACUCACUCCACAAUGUUCAGGACUUCAAAGGGCUCAAGGCAGUGACAAUGAGUAAUGGUAAUGUGAUUCCGAUUACUCAAACUGGUAAUACUCAUUUAAAUGCAUCAAAUACUGCCUUCAAACUCUUUAAUAUUUUGUGUGCUGCGGCUAUCAAACGCAAGCUCAUUUCAGUGAAUCAAUUUUGCAAAGACAAUCUAACCUCAAUAACAUUUUUUCCUUUUCCUUUUCCUGUGAAGGAUUUGAAUACGGGAGCACCUGAUACACUAAAAACUUGAAAACACAAGAAAAGGCACAAAACAUACACCAAAAUCAGUCCACAAGCUAAGAUAGCCGAGGAACCCUUUUGGUGACCUCUCUCGGAUUUAAAAACACAACAAGAACACUAUGUAGUGAGGUGUUUAACACCUAUUUUCCAACAGCAACCCAAACUAUUUUAGCAACAAGAUAACAAUAACAACAAUGUAGUAACAAUAACAACACUUCACGGGUUGGAGUACAAGAACAGCAAACAAACGAUUACAACAAUAAAAUAGAUAGAUAGUUACACAAGUGAAUGUAUAAUCUUAAGAACCCAAGAAUUUGGUGGACUCUUGGACCCUUAACACUACACGCGACAAAC
RNAcentral lists this long non-coding RNA (5582 nucleotides) under Capsicum annuum. RNAcentral describes it as "long non-coding RNA (CANN_LNC010440)". Lineage: Eukaryota; Viridiplantae; Streptophyta; Magnoliopsida; Solanales; Solanaceae. The record is from RNAcentral.